AAAUAGAUACCCGGGUAGUCCACGCCGUAAACGAUGAGUGCUAAGUGUUAGAGGGUUUCCGCCCUUUUAGUGCUGCAGCUAACGCAUUAAGCACUCCGCCUGGGGAGUACGGCCGCAAGGCUGAAACUCAAAGGAAUUGACGGGGGCCCGCACAAGCGGUGGAGCAUGUGGUUUAAUUCGAAGCAACGCGAAGAACCUUACCAGGUCUUGACAUCCUCUGCCAACCCUAGAGAUAGGGCGUUCCCCUUCGGGGGACAGAGUGACAGGUGGUGCAUGGUUGUCGUCAGCUCGUGCCGUGAGAUGUUGGGUUAAGUCCCGCAACGAGCGCAACCCUUGAUCUUAGUUGCCAGCAUUUAGUUGGGCACUCUAAGGUGACUGCCGGUGACAAACCGGAGGAAGGUGGGGAUGACGUCAAAUCAUCAUGCCCCUUAUGACCUGGGCUACACACGUGCUACAAUGGAUGGUACAAAGAGCUGCGAACCCGCGAGGGUAAGCGAAUCUCAUAAAGCCAUUCUCAGUUCGGA
Molecule: ribosomal RNA, 524 nt
Filed under: uncultured bacterium
Lineage: Bacteria
Description: bacterial SSU rRNA
Rfam family: Bacterial small subunit ribosomal RNA
Source: RNAcentral